Molecule: long non-coding RNA, 1993 nt
Filed under: Anolis carolinensis (green anole)
Lineage: Eukaryota; Metazoa; Chordata; Lepidosauria; Squamata; Anolidae
Description: lncRNA (ENSACAG00000038446.1)
Source: RNAcentral
UUAGGUUCCAAAGACUGAGGGCUCACCCUGACCAAUAAAAAGUCUCAGAUUUUGUUCCUGUUCUUUCUGCUUUUAUAUGAGUUUAAAAUAAAGUGAUUUGGGGAGUUGGUAUUAGAAAAUUAUCUGAUUGUUCCAGGAGCUGACAGAAAAUAUUCUGGGCUAAAUAAAACAUGUAUAGGUCUCCAAAAUAAAAAAAUAGGAACAAAAGCUGGGACCUCCUGGUCUUUUAAAUUCAUCUGGAUGUGACUUUAAAAACCAGCAGCUACUGAUGGUCACUCUUACCCGCAUUGCAUCCCUCAAUUUAUUUCUCACUUUGCUUCUCAGUCCCUUUUCCUAGUUAUUCUUUCUUGCCUGCUGCUAGCUCAUGCAUUAAGUCCAAAUUCCAGAACAAGGCAGCCACCUUCUGGAGCAUUUAUCAGGCCAAUUAAGCUGAUUUGUACAAUUACAUUCCGAAUCGACUCACCACUACUGCGUUGAUAUCAGAACCACCAGCCGUAAGAGUUUAGCUUUUUUCUGACACUUUAGAUUCUACCACAACAACACAUUAAUUUAUUCUUUAGGGAUGGAAUUCAUAAUAGAAGUUAUGCAUAAUCUACAGAAUGAGUUCAUAACUGAUUCAUAUUCAUGAUUCCUCCAUAGCCAAUAGUGAAAGAAAUACAUAGGGAUCAUACAAGUCUCUCUAUCCUAACCUAGCAGUGGCCACUGUGAGUGAUGGCGGCAUCUGUUCUUCGUUGAUCAGGACGUAGCAAACUGAUUCUUUCACCCUCCUCCUGCAAGUGAAUUCCAUUGUGAGGAGGAAUUGUGGCAGAGUUCUGACUUCUGCCUGUUUCACUGGAUUUUGCUCAUGGAAAAAGGUGGAAAUGUCAGUCUGCUGCUGCAUCCUGUUGGGGGGAACAGAGUCCUGUUGCUUACUACAGGCUCUGGCAAAUAAUUCAAACUUGAGGAUACACUAAUUAGCUAUGUGAAAUAGGUACAUGGCUAAUCCUGAAGAAUCUUGGUCCCAAAUUAAUUUUGGAGCCUCCUUCUUUAUAAGAUGAUUUUCAUCAUCUAAUAAGUAAAGUCUUACCAGACGGAAGCUGCAACAGAGUGGGACUUUGUAAUGUAAUGUUCUUCCCUUAUGCUCCAAACAAUAAUACCUGAUAGGGACUACUACAUUGCCCUCUACAGAUAAAGAAGGAAAAUAUAUUUCUCAAGCUGACAUGUGGACUGGACACAUAUUCCAUUGAAGUUUCAUAAAAGUCAUUUUUAAUUUGAUAUUUUUACCUUUCUAUCUGAACUAGUAACAUAGAUCUCUUCCACUGAAUAACAAUUUAACUGGAUAAGAAAAGAGAUGGCAAAGUGCAUGUACAGAAGACCUAGAAAUAAAAUAACAAACUCUUGCUCUUUCAUUCUGUGCUUUCCUCCAAAUUUUCAAUACAGAUUUUAAAACUAAAAUAUCAUUAUGCACAUAUUUAAAAUUAAUAAUUUGAAGCAAUUAUGUAGGAAACAUGCUAAUAUGCAAGAAUAAAAUAACCUUCAAUAGAGAAAAUCUGCAAAGAAAGCAACUCUUGGUAGAAACACUUCUCCCUGCACAGAAAAGCUUGGAAAACUAUUUUUAAAAGGUAAUUUCCAUUUGCCUGAUGUUUCAAAAACAGUUCAUUCUUGUUACUCCUUAGGGUGACACAAACAUAUAGAUUGCAACAUUACUUGUGCUGCUCAACUCUUAUUUAUUUAUUUAUUUAUUUUAUUUGUAGUAUUUAUAUGCCAUCCUUCUCAACCCCGAAGAGGACUCAGGGCGGGUCACAGUGUUGGCAACUGGGGUCAGUACUUUAGGGUUCUCUUGAAUAUACUAGGCUUUCACCUUUCACCACGCUACUCAACAAGGGGAUUGUUCAUUUUUUGAUAAGAGUGAACAUGUGCCUUCAAGUUGUUUCUGACGUACAACACCCUAAGUUGAAAUUAUCAUGGGUUUUCAGGGACUGAAAAUAUUGGACUACCUCAAGGUCACCCAGUG